GUCUUUUUGAAAAUGAUUUAMAGUCUAACCUGCCCAGUGAUGAUUUAACGGCCGCAGUAUUUUAACUGUGCAAAGGUAGCAUAAUCAAUAGUUUUUUAAUUGGAAACUGGUAUGAAGGGUUGAAUAAAAAAUUUACUGUCUUGAUUUUAAUUUUUUAGAAUUUUAUUUUUAAGUUAAAAAGCUUAAAUAUUAUUUAAAGACGAGAAGACCCUAUAGAAUUUUAUAAAAUUAUUAAUAAAAAAAUAAAGUUUUAAAGUUUUUUAUUAAUUUAUGUAUAUUUGAUUGGGGUGAUUUUAAAAUUUAUAAAACUUUUAUUUUUUAUAAUCAAUUAUUUUUGUUUAAUUGAGCCAUAAGUUAUGAUUAAAAGAUUAAAUUACCUUAGGGAUAACAGCAUAAUUUUUUUUGAAAGUUCAUAUUGAAAAAGAAGAUUAUGACCUCGAUGUUGGAUUAAAAUAAAUUAUUGGUGAAGAAGCUAAAUAAGUAGGUCUGUUCGACCUUUAAAAUUUUACA
RNAcentral lists this ribosomal RNA (510 nucleotides) under Geoendomychus glaber. RNAcentral's name for it is "partial 16S ribosomal RNA". The stretch from base 384 to 510 matches the Rfam family "Bacterial large subunit ribosomal RNA", at positions 2473 to 2600 of the family's 2925-position model. Lineage: Eukaryota; Metazoa; Arthropoda; Insecta; Coleoptera; Endomychidae. The record is from RNAcentral.